GACGAACGCUGGCGGCGUGCCUAAUACAUGCAAGUCGAACGAACUCUGGUAUUGAUUGGUGCUUGCAUCAUGAUUUACAUUUGAGUGAGUGGCGAACUGGUGAGUAACACGUGGGAAACCUGCCCAGAAGCGGGGGGAUAACACCUAGAAACAGAUGCUAAUACCGCAUAACAACUUGGACCGCAUGGUCCGGGCUUGAAAGAUGGCUUCGGCUAUC
This 217-nucleotide ribosomal RNA is filed under the name uncultured bacterium. RNAcentral describes it as "partial 16S ribosomal RNA". It matches the Rfam family "Bacterial small subunit ribosomal RNA", at positions 28 to 222 of the family's 1533-position model. The record is from RNAcentral.